GACGUGCUAAUCUGCGAUAAGCGUCGGUAAGGUGAUAUGAACCGUUAUAACCGGCGAUUUCCGAAUGGGGAAACCCAGUGUGAUUCGUCACACUAUCAUUAACUGAAUCCAUAGGUUAAUGAGGCGAACCGGGGGAACUGAAACAUCUAAGUACCCCGAGGAAAAGAAAUCAACCGAGAUUCCCCCAGUAGCGGCGAGCGAACGGGGAGCAGCCCAGAGCCUGAAUCAGUGUGUGUGUUAGUGGAAGCGUCUGGAAAGGCGUGCGAUACAGGGUGACAGCCCCGUACACAAAAAUGCACAUACUGUGAGCUCGAUGAGUAGGGCGGGACACGUGGUAUCCUGUCUGAAUAUGGGGGGACCAUCCUCCAAGGCUAAAUACUCCUGACUGACCGAUAGUGAACCAGUACCGUGAGGGAAAGGCGAAAAGAACCCCGGCGAGGGGAGUGAAAAAGAACCUGAAACCGUGUACGUACAAGCAGUGGGAGCACGCUUAGGCGUGUGACUGCGUACCUUUUGUAUAAUGGGUCAGCGACUUAUAUUCUGUAGCAAGGUUAACCGAAUAGGGGAGCCGAAGGGAAACCGAGUCUUAACUGGGCGUUAAGUUGCAGGGUAUAGACCCGAAACCCGGUGAUCUAGCCAUGGGCAGGUUGAAGGUUGGGUAACACUAACUGGAGGACCGAACCGACUAAUGUUGAAAAAUUAGCGGAUGACUUGUGGCUGGGGGUGAAAGGCCAAUCAAACCGGGAGAUAGCUGGUUCUCCCCGAAAGCUAUUUAGGUAGCGCCUCGUGAAUUCAUCUCCGGGGGUAGAGCACUGUUUCGGCAAGGGGGUCAUCCCGACUUACCAACCCGAUGCAAACUGCGAAUACCGGAGAAUGUUAUUACGGGAGACACACGGCGGGUGCUAACGUCCGUCGUGAAGAGGGAAACAACCCAGACCGCCAGCUAAGGUCCCAAAGUCAUGGUUAAGUGGGAAACGAUGUGGGAAGGCCCAGACAGCCAGGAUGUUGGCUUAGAAGCAGCCAUCAUUUAAAGAAAGCGUAAUAGCUCACUGGUCGAGUCGGCCUGCGCGGAAGAUGUAACGGGGCUAAACCAUGCACCGAAGCUGCGGCAGCGACGCUUAUGCGUUGUUGGGUAGGGGAGCGUUCUGUAAGCCUGUGAAGGUGUGCUGUGAGGUAUGCUGGAGGUAUCAGAAGUGCGAAUGCUGACAUAAGUAACGAUAAAGCGGGUGAAAAGCCCGCUCGCCGGAAGACCAAGGGUUCCUGUCCAACGUUAAUCGGGGCAGGGUGAGUCGACCCCUAAGGCGAGGCCGAAAGGCGUAGUCGAUGGGAAACAGGUUAAUAUUCCUGUACUUGGUGUUACUGCGAAGGGGGGACGGAGAAGGCUAUGUUGGCCGGGCGACGGUUGUCCCGGUUUAAGCGUGUAGGCUGGUUUUCCAGGCAAAUCCGGAAAAUCAAGGCCGAGGCGUGAUGACGAGGCACUACGGUGCUGAAGCAACAAAUGCCCUGCUUCCAGGAAAAGCCUCUAAGCAUCAGGUAACAUCAAAUCGUACCCCAAACCGACACAGGUGGUCAGGUAGAGAAUACCAAGGCGCUUGAGAGAACUCGGGUGAAGGAACUAGGCAAAAUGGUGCCGUAACUUCGGGAGAAGGCACGCUGAUACGUAGGUGAAGCGACUUGCUCGUGGAGCUGAAAUCAGUCGAAGAUACCAGCUGGCUGCAACUGUUUAUUAAAAACACAGCACUGUGCAAACACGAAAGUGGACGUAUACGGUGUGACGCCUGCCCGGUGCCGGAAGGUUAAUUGAUGGGGUUAGCGCAAGCGAAGCUCUUGAUCGAAGCCCCGGUAAACGGCGGCCGUAACUAUAACGGUCCUAAGGUAGCGAAAUUCCUUGUCGGGUAAGUUCCGACCUGCACGAAUGGCGUAAUGAUGGCCAGGCUGUCUCCACCCGAGACUCAGUGAAAUUGAACUCGCUGUGAAGAUGCAGUGUACCCGCGGCAAGACGGAAAGACCCCGUGAACCUUUACUAUAGCUUGACACUGAACAUUGAGCCUUGAUGUGUAGGAUAGGUGGGAGGCUUUGAAGUGUGGACGCCAGUCUGCAUGGAGCCGACCUUGAAAUACCACCCUUUAAUGUUUGAUGUUCUAACGUGGACCCGUGAUCCGGGUUGCGGACAGUGUCUGGUGGGUAGUUUGACUGGGGCGGUCUCCUCCUAAAGAGUAACGGAGGAGCACGAAGGUUGGCUAAUCCUGGUCGGACAUCAGGAGGUUAGUGCAAUGGCAUAAGCCAGCUUGACUGCGAGCGUGACGGCGCGAGCAGGUGCGAAAGCAGGUCAUAGUGAUCCGGUGGUUCUGAAUGGAAGGGCCAUCGCUCAACGGAUAAAAGGUACUCCGGGGAUAACAGGCUGAUACCGCCCAAGAGUUCAUAUCGACGGCGGUGUUUGGCACCUCGAUGUCGGCUCAUCACAUCCUGGGGCUGAAGUAGGUCCCAAGGGUAUGGCUGUUCGCCAUUUAAAGUGGUACGCGAGCUGGGUUUAGAACGUCGUGAGACAGUUCGGUCCCUAUCUGCCGUGGGCGCUGGAGAACUGAGGGGGGCUGCUCCUAGUACGAGAGGACCGGAGUGGACGCAUCACUGGUGUUCGGG
RNAcentral lists this ribosomal RNA (2640 nucleotides) under Shigella flexneri. RNAcentral's name for it is "partial 23S ribosomal RNA". It matches the Rfam family "Bacterial large subunit ribosomal RNA". The record is from RNAcentral. Lineage: Bacteria; Pseudomonadati; Pseudomonadota; Gammaproteobacteria; Enterobacterales; Enterobacteriaceae.